CUAUGAAUGCACGGGCACAAGAUCACAAAAUUGAAGUAGAUGAACUGCAUGCAUCACGAACCAGCGGGUCUGGACUACGGAAUGUUCGGAUCCUGAAGCCAGGCCCAAUCACUCAGCCGGAUACAUGUCGAUGACGCUUCUUGCUAGCAGGACGUUUUUAUUGUCGAACCCUCUAUUCCAUUUCUUAUACCACACGUGGAAGGAACGAAUGCCUGCGACGGGACGGACCGUCCCCCACUCCUCCUUUCUUGCUUCUCGGAACACCGUCAUGUCGCUCGACGGAAUUUCCAGCAGGGCCUCAACUAUCCUGUCCAGGGCUAGAAGUGCGUACGCCGUGUCAUGGGACAUGUCGUCGCUCACCGUGCGAAGCUCAUUGUCAACACAGGUGUUGUUGUCACGCAAGUGAAUAAAGAAAUUUGAUCUGUUUUCCA
Long non-coding RNA from Ornithodoros turicata, 431 nucleotides. RefSeq lists it as uncharacterized. The record is from RefSeq and is a predicted model, not a curated record. NCBI's taxonomy places the organism in Eukaryota, Metazoa, Arthropoda, Arachnida, Ixodida, Argasidae. The transcript has 2 exons.